Molecule: ribosomal RNA, 449 nt
Filed under: uncultured bacterium
Lineage: Bacteria
Description: partial 16S ribosomal RNA
Rfam family: Bacterial small subunit ribosomal RNA
Source: RNAcentral
AACGAACGCUGGCGGCAUGCCUAACACAUGCAAGUCGAACGAGAUCUUCGGGUCUAGUGGCGCACGGGUGCGUAACGCGUGGGAAUCUGCCCUUUGGUUCGGAAUAACAGUUGGAAACGACUGCUAAUACCGGAUGAUGACGAAAGUCCAAAGAUUUAUCGCCAGAGGAUGAGCCCGCGUAGGAUUAGCUAGUUGGUGUGGUCAAGGGGCACCAAGGCGACGAUCCUUAGCUGGUCUGAGAGGAUGAUCAGCCACACUGGGACUGCGACACGGCCCAGACUCCUAAGGGAGGCAGCAGUGGGGAAUAUUGGACAAUGGGCGAAAGCCUGAUCCUGCAAUGCCGCGUGAGUGAUGAAGGCCUUAGGGUUGUAAAGCUCUUUUACCCGGGAUGAUAAUGACAGUACCGGGAGAAUAAGCUCCGGCUAACUCCGUGCCAGCCGCCGCGGUAA